Populus trichocarpa (black cottonwood) is the source of this 107-nucleotide non-coding RNA. Lineage: Eukaryota; Viridiplantae; Streptophyta; Magnoliopsida; Malpighiales; Salicaceae. The record is from Rfam.
AUUUGAUGAUGAGGACAUUGAAUGCAGAGUUGCUCGAAUCUUUCCCAAUAUUCGGAGAGUGUCUCUCCAUGAGAUUGCCGAAUCCCAUAUAUUUCUUUUCUUAUGUU